This 253-nucleotide ribosomal RNA is filed under the name uncultured bacterium. RNAcentral describes it as "partial 16S ribosomal RNA". It matches the Rfam family "Bacterial small subunit ribosomal RNA", at positions 524 to 776 of the family's 1533-position model. The record is from RNAcentral.
UACGGAGGGGGCUAGCGUUGUUCGGAAUUACUGGGCGUAAAGCGCACGUAGGCGGCUUUGUAAGUUAGAGGUGAAAGCCCGGGGCUCAACUUCGGAAUUGCCUUUAAGACUGCAUCGCUAGAAUUGUGGAGAGGUAAGUGGAAUUCCGAGUGUAGAGGUGAAAUUCGUAGAUAUUCGGAAGAACACCGGUGGCGAAGGCGACUUACUGGACACAUAUUGACGCUGAGGUGCGAAAGCGUGGGGAGCAAACAGG